Molecule: ribosomal RNA, 1287 nt
Filed under: uncultured bacterium
Lineage: Bacteria
Description: bacterial SSU rRNA
Rfam family: Bacterial small subunit ribosomal RNA
Source: RNAcentral
AGUGGCGGACGGGUGAGUAACACGUGAGCAACCUGCCUUUCAGAGGGGGAUAACAGUUGGAAACGACUGCUAAUACCGCAUGACAUUACCGGGUCACAUGGCCUGGUAAUCAAAGGAGCAAUCCGCUGAAAGAUGGGCUCGCGUCCGAUUAGCCAGUUGGCGGGGUAAUGGCCCACCAAAGCGACGAUCGGUAGCCGGACUGAGAGGUUGAACGGCCACAUUGGGACUGAGACACGGCCCAGACUCCUACGGGAGGCAGCAGUGGGGGAUAUUGCACAAUGGGGGGAACCCUGACGCAGCGACGCCGCGUGCGGGACGGAGGCCUUCGGGUCGUAAACCGCUUUCAGCAGGGAAGAGUCAAGACUGUACCUGCAGAAGAAGCCCCGGCUAACUACGUGCCAGCGGCCGCGGUAAUACGUAGGGGGCGAGCGUUAUCCGGAUUCAUUGGGCGUAAAGCGCGCGUAGGCGGCCCGGCAGGCCGGGGGUCGAAGCGGGGGGCUCAACCCCCCGAAGCCCCCGGAACCUCCGCGGCUUGGGUCCGGUAGGGGAGGGUGGAACACCCGGUGUAGCGGUGGAAUGCGCAGAUAUCGGGUGGAACACCGGUGGCGAAGGCGGCCCUCUGGGCCGAGACCGACGCUGAGGCGCGAAAGCUGGGGGAGCGAACAGGAUUAGAUACCCUGGUAGUCCCAGCCGUAAACGAUGGACACGAGGUGUGGGGGGACGAUCCCCCCAGUACCGCAGCCAACGCAUUAAGGGUUCCUGCUUGGGGAGUACGGCCGCAAGGUUAAAACUCAAAGGAAUUGACGGGGGCCCGCACAAGCAGCGGAGCAUGUGGCUUAAUUGGAAGCGACGCGAAGAACCUUACCAGGACUUGACAUAUGGGUGAAGAGGGGGAGACCCCGUGGCAGAGAGGAGCCCAUACAAGGUGGUGCAUGGCGGUCGUCAGCUCGUGUCGUGAGAUGUUGGGUUAAGUCCCGCAACGAGCGCAACCCCCGCCGCGUGUUGCCAUCGGGUGAUGCCGGGAACCCACGCGGGACCGCCGCCGUCAAGGCGGAGGAGGGCGGGGGCGACGUCAAAUCAUCAUGCCCCUUAUGUCCCGGGCUACACACGUAAUACAAUGGCGGUCAACAGAGGGAAGCAAAGCCGCGAGGCAGAGCAAACCCCUAAAAGCCGUCUCAGUUCGGAUUGCAGGCUGCAACUCGCCUGCAUGAAGUUGGAAUUGCUAGUAAUCGUGGAUCAGCAUGCCACGGUGAAUACGUUCCCGGGCCUUGCACUCACCGCCCGUCA